GCCUACGGGGCCAUACCACCCUGACAACGCCUGAUCCCAUCUGAUCUCGGAAGCUAAGCUGGGUCAGGCCCAGUUAGUACUUGGAUGGGAGACCAUCUGGGAAUACUGGGAGCUAAAGGCU
Molecule: ribosomal RNA, 121 nt
Organism: Lepidothrix coronata (blue-crowned manakin)
Lineage: Eukaryota; Metazoa; Chordata; Aves; Passeriformes; Pipridae
Source: Ensembl